This 74-nucleotide transfer RNA is filed under the name Candidatus Beckwithbacteria bacterium. RNAcentral's name for it is "tRNA-Gly". It matches the Rfam family "tRNA". Rfam says of the family: Transfer RNA (tRNA) molecules are approximately 80 nucleotides in length. Their secondary structure includes four short double-helical elements and three loops (D, anti-codon, and T loops). Lineage: Bacteria; Candidatus Beckwithiibacteriota. The record is from RNAcentral.
GCGGGUAUGGUAUAGUGGUAUUAUGUCACCCUUCCAAGGUGAAGAGACGGGUUCGAUUCCCGUUACCCGCUCCA